CGGAGGGGCUAGCGUUGUUCGGAAUUACUGGGGCGUAAAGCGCACGUAGGCGGAUCGGAAAGUUGGGGGUGAAAUCCCGGGGGCUCAACCCCGGAACUGCCUUCAAAACUAUCGGUCUGGAGUUCGAGAGAGGUGAGUGGAAUUCCGAGUGUAGAGGUGAAAUUCGUAGAUAUUCGGAGGAACACCAGUGGCGAAGGCGGCUCACUGGCUCGAUACUGACGCUGAGGUGCGAAAGCGUGGGGAGCAAACAGGAUU
RNAcentral lists this ribosomal RNA (255 nucleotides) under uncultured bacterium. Its description in RNAcentral is "partial 16S ribosomal RNA". It matches the Rfam family "Bacterial small subunit ribosomal RNA", at positions 527 to 779 of the family's 1533-position model. The record is from RNAcentral.